This 841-nucleotide ribosomal RNA is filed under the name uncultured bacterium. RNAcentral describes it as "bacterial SSU rRNA". It matches the Rfam family "Bacterial small subunit ribosomal RNA", at positions 549 to 1396 of the family's 1533-position model. The record is from RNAcentral.
AAUUAUUGGGUGUAAAGGGUGCGUAGGCGGGCUGUAAAGUCAGGCGUGAAAUGCAGGAGCUCAACUCCUGAACUGCGCUUGAAACUUACGGUCUUGAGUGAAGUAGAGGUAAGCGGAAUUCCUAGUGUAGCGGUGAAAUGCGUAGAUAUUAGGAGGAACACCAGUGGCGAAGGCGGCUUACUGGGCUUUUACUGACGCUGAGGCACGAAAGUGUGGGGAGCAAACAGGAUUAGAUACCCUGGUAGUCCACACCGUAAACGAUGAUUACUAGGUGUAGGGCGGCUGAAACCGUUCUGUGCCGGAGUUAACACAAUAAGUAAUCCACCUGGGGAGUACGACCGCAAGGUUGAAACUCAAAGGAAUUGACGGGGGCCCGCACAAGCAGUGGAGUAUGUGGUUUAAUUCGACGCAACGCGAAAAACCUUACCAGGUCUUGACAUCGAUUGACGAGUAUAGAGAUAUGCUCUUCCCUUCGGGGACAAGAAGACAGGUGGUGCAUGGUUGUCGUCAGCUCGUGUCGUGAGAUGUUUGGUUAAGUCCAGCAACGAGCGCAACCCCUAUUGUCAGUUGCUACGCAAGAGCACUCUGGCGAGACUGCCGAUGUAAAUCGGAGGAAGGUGGGGAUGACGUCAAAUCAUCAUGCCCUUUAUGACCUGGGCUACACACGUACUACAAUGGCGGUUAACAGAGGGGAGCGAAGGAGUGAUCCGGAGCAAAUCCUCAAAAGCCGUCUCAGUUCAGAUUGCAGGCUGCAACUCGCCUGCAUGAAGUCGGAAUUGCUAGUAAUCGCGAAUCAGCAUGUCGCGGUGAAUACGUUCCCGGGCCUUGCACACACCGCCCG